RNAcentral lists this long non-coding RNA (3397 nucleotides) under Mus musculus (house mouse). Its description in RNAcentral is "long non-coding RNA chr8:14881571-14884968". The record is from RNAcentral. Lineage: Eukaryota; Metazoa; Chordata; Mammalia; Rodentia; Muridae.
AUUCCCGAAGAAGACCUGCCUAUGAAGUCAUCUAAUAAAAUUGCCUCACCCGCCUGGUUCUGUCAGCCCUCAGAGAAGACAGAAGUGCUCUGACUCCUGGUGGCUGGGAGGCUAUCUGGAGCCUUAGCCCUUCACCACUUUGGGGAUUGUUUGGAAUCAAGUUUCCCAGCCGGCCCGUCUAAGGUUUUGAUUGGAUGGCCCAUCAGCUCUUCCCAGUUUGAUUCCCAAGUUACAAAUCUGGAGGCAAAGCCAAGUUCCUGUGAUGAAAAACCAGAAAGAAAAUAUUUAGGUGAGUUUUUGUUUGGGCAGUUAUCGAAUAGAAGAAACAGCAUGCGCUCUUGUUAGGAGAAACCUGGGGAUUCGCCCUGCUCAUUGCCUUGUGGAGAACCUGGAAAUACUUUAGUGGAAAGAAGGGAGUUGAUUCAAGUCCAAUCUUGACAAGGAAGCAUAUUUUUCUCCAUCCCAAAUCCUGUCUAGGUGAGGAGUUGUGGAGGUUAGCUAGCUCUUGGGUGUUCUAAUUGAGACUAUACAUGGGAAAGCCAAGCAUUUCUGGGCAACCUUGAUUCUUGGAGCCUUCUUUCCUCUUGUUUGGAAUCCUCCUGUCUUUUUCCUUGAAAGCCAAGUUGACCCACACCUCCUGAGCUGGUGUCUCUAUCUUUCCAUUUAGACGUAUUAUCUUUUUGUAAGUCAACCUUUACAGGUGGGCAGGCUGUCUUGUGUUGCAGACACCACAUUUUUUUUUAGAAUUUAGAAUACCAUAGGUAAAUGGAUGGGCUGUUAAAAGACUGGGGAAGGAGGAGGGGAAAACAGGCCCAUGGUAAGAGGUCCCUCUUCUGUUUACACUGCAGAUGGAAUGAGAAGCCACGCCAGCCCUGCCCCCAAGCACUGUUCAUUUGAGUUUCCAAGCACUGUUCAUUUGAGUUUUAAAUAAUCAGGUUGCCUUUAAGCAGAAGCUAUGUCUCCUAGCUCCGAUAGAUAGCAUUUUGGUCUCCGUUGUUACAGCAUUACCUGUAGCGAUCUGAUUGUCAGAGCCCCUGUUGUUACUGUUUCUUAGCGAUCUGAUUGUCAGAGCCCCUGUUGUUACUGUUUCUUAGCGAUCUGAUUGUCAGAGCCCCUGCUACUGUUUCUUGUGCUUGCCUACUUGAUCACAGUGUAUCUAACUUUUGAAACAGUAGACUUAUUAUAUCGUCAUUUACUGCAUGUCUAUGGCCUUAUACUUGAUUCUUGUCACAGUGCAUUUUGUGUUGGCCAGCAGAGGAGGAAAGUUUGAGUCUGUUAAGUUGCUUCUAAAAUAAAAGAUAAAUCAAGGGGGUUAUGUGCAGGUCUUAAAAUAAAGUUGUGCUAAGUCUGAUAUGGUUUACAGUGUUCCUGGGGUCACAGCUACUCUGGAGGUAGAGGCAGAAGGACUUAAAAAGACUUAUGGAGAUCAGGAGUUUGAAGCCAGCCUGGGUACCAUAGUGAAACCCUGUCUCUGGAAAAAGAAAAUAACAUGGUUUCGUUUUUGUGGCUGAGAGUGUUUGCCUAGCAUCAAGAAGAUUUAAAUAAAUCCCCAGCAUCAUGGGAGGAGGGGGGAAGGGAGGCAAGGAAAAGAGAAGGAAAAGGUUGGUCAAAAGGAGAGGAAGAAAAUCAAAGAUAAGAAAGGAAGGGAAAUUUUGGCCUGACGCGCUCUAGGUCUGCUUGAAGAGUUGGCUCGGUCAGUAAAGUGCUCGCCUUACACACAUGUGAACUCUGUCUGUAGCAUCCGUAUUAAAAGCCAGGUGUGGUGAUGCACAUCCCAUAGUCUCAGCAAUAAUGACAUGGGACGCAGACAGGAGGAUUAUCCACUCAACUGGCCAGCUAGCCUGGCCUAGGUAGCCGACUUCCAGGACAAGGAGGACCAGUUUCAAAUACAAGGUAGAAGGCAGCUGAAGACCAAUGACACUCUCAAUGUUGUCCUCUGGCUUCCACACGCACUACAUGUAAGAGUGUAAAACACACACAUACACAUACACACAAAAUUAGCAUAUCCUCCCAGGAAGUAGAGCACAGGCCUUUGUGGGGCAGUGGAAAGCUUGCUGGAGAAGAGCACCCAUCUUCCUUGUUUCUUCCUAGAUUAUAGCACACCCUUACUAAUGGGUCACGCUGAUGCAUGGUGUUCUCCCCUAAUAGUUCCUACUUGAGCACAGUGCCCUCCACUAAUGCUUCCCUUUGGAAACAAUACACCCACCCUGCCCCAUGAUUCCUACUAGAACAACACUGCCUACUAAUUGUUGUUGUGCCAUUGUAGUGUUAAGCCAGGGGUGUUUCUUCUUCUUCCUGGGUGUGUGUGUUUUUUUUUUUAAAUCCUCCCACUGGUGACAUUCCAUGCUGAUAUUUUCUGUUGUGGGGUGACUUGGCACUAUAGGACCUCUGGUACCUUCCCACCUCCAGGGACCAGAACCUCCUCACCACCCUACCUCCCAAGAAAAGCGCCUAGAUAUGGACACAUGGUCCCACAAGACUAAGUCACCCAGAUGAGCGCUGUAUGGGUGCCAUGUCACUGUCAGGGUACUUGUAGCUGACUGCUAGGGCCAUAUCUUUGACCCACCAAGAUUUAAGAUGAUUAUAACCAUUAAUUUCCUACUUCCCAAUGAGCCCUGCCCGUACCAUGUAGCCCACAUACAGAGGGCAAAGCAUUUGGGGGUCAUGAUAUCUGCGCCCAAUGUAGAUACCAACAACACUCUAAUCACAGGUUUGGCUCGGAAAGGCUCUGGUACAAGGUCACUUUACCAGUAGGUAAUUCCCUGCCCAAAGGUCCAUUCCUGGCGGCAGACACUCCCUCCCUUCAAGGCUCAGAACUCAUCAGGUUUCCAGAAGAUACACAUUUAAGUAAAGAUAUGGUUUUAGAACACGGUGUAUGUUCAUAUCAGCAGGAAAGCUUCCCUAUGGCCUUCUUCUUCUUUUUUUUUUUUUAAAGGAACUUUAAUUUUGCAAUAGUAAAAGAAAAAAGAAGAAGAAGCAAUUAAUCAGGCUUUCUCCAGAGGCCUGUUGUGGGAGGAGUUAUACCCUGUAGUGGGGUUCUAUAGCAAGGACAAGAAUGGACUCAAGUUGAAUUUGAGGGCAGUGGGAACAGGGUGUGUGUGGUAAGGGGGGCAGUGGGAAAUUGCACCCAGGUGAGGACAUUGAUCUUGUUAUAAGAGGCUUCUCAGGGCCAGAGAGAUGGCUCAGUGGUUAAGAGCACCGUCUGUUCUUCCAGAAGUCCUGAGUUCAAUUCCCAGCAACCACAUGGUGGCUCACAACCAUCUGUAAUGAGAUCUGAUGCCCUCUUCUAGUGUGUCUGAAGACAGCGACAGUGUACUGACAUACAUAAAAUAAAUGUUAAAAAAAAAAUAGAGGCUUUUCCUUGGGGACAAGCCAAAUGAUAAUAAAGCUGCCCUUU